GCGGGGGUUGCCGAGUCAGGUCAAAGGCGUGGGAUUUAGGGUCCCAUCCCGUAGGGGUUCGCCGGUUCAAAUCCGGCCCCCCGCA
RNAcentral lists this transfer RNA (85 nucleotides) under Thermoplasmata archaeon. Its description in RNAcentral is "tRNA-Leu". It matches the Rfam family "tRNA". From Rfam's summary of the family: Transfer RNA (tRNA) molecules are approximately 80 nucleotides in length. Their secondary structure includes four short double-helical elements and three loops (D, anti-codon, and T loops). Further hydrogen bonds mediate the characteristic L-shaped molecular structure. tRNAs have two regions of fundamental functional importance: the anti-codon, which is responsible for specific mRNA codon recognition, and the 3' end, to which the tRNAs corresponding amino acid is attached (by aminoacyl-tRNA synthetases). tRNAs cope with the degeneracy of the genetic code in two manners: having more than one tRNA (with a specific anti-codon) for a particular amino acid; and 'wobble' base-pairing, i.e. permitting non-standard base-pairing at the 3rd anti-codon position. RNAcentral also lists the same sequence under 1 other name. Lineage: Archaea; Methanobacteriati; Thermoplasmatota; Thermoplasmata. The record is from RNAcentral.